This is a long non-coding RNA of Sinocyclocheilus anshuiensis, 301 nucleotides long. RefSeq lists it as uncharacterized. The record is from RefSeq and is a predicted model, not a curated record. NCBI's taxonomy places the organism in Eukaryota, Metazoa, Chordata, Actinopteri, Cypriniformes, Cyprinidae. The transcript has 3 exons.
CUUACAUCACCUGAGACGUGUUGCAGAGAGGAAGGAAGAGAAUAAAAUGUCUCUGAGUAAUUUGGCUACAGUGUUUGGCCCCAGCCUCUUGCGCCCCCCAGUGGCUCGUGUCGACAUAUCUCAAGAAGUGGUGGUUCAGGUUCAGGUGAUUUUUCUCUAUCUGCAGUGUCAGAACCUUCCAGAAGCUCUUCUCACAAAACAUCUGGACAUUGAUGAGCUAGAGACAUGAGCCUUCUACAACCAGACUCCUUUUCUGUCUGCGUAUCCAUGGUCGUCUGUAAAUUUGUAAAAAUUCUGUUUA